GCCUACCCCUGGUGUAGUGGUUCAAGUGUUGGACUAGAGCUCUAGAGAUCAGGGUUCAAUUCCCUGUUCGGCC
Molecule: non-coding RNA, 73 nt
Organism: Phrynosoma platyrhinos (Desert horned lizard)
Lineage: Eukaryota; Metazoa; Chordata; Lepidosauria; Squamata; Phrynosomatidae
Source: the annotation of a GenBank genome assembly